This 253-nucleotide ribosomal RNA is filed under the name uncultured bacterium. Its description in RNAcentral is "partial 16S ribosomal RNA". It matches the Rfam family "Bacterial small subunit ribosomal RNA", at positions 524 to 776 of the family's 1533-position model. The record is from RNAcentral.
UACGAAGGGGGCUAGCGUUGUUCGGAUUUACUGGGCGUAAAGCGCACGUAGGCGGUUUGUUAAGUCAGGGGUGAAAUCCCAGAGCUCAACUCUGGAACUGCCUUUGAUACUGGCAAGCUAGAGUCCGGAAGAGGUAAGUGGAACUCCUAGUGUAGAGGUGGAAUGCGCAGAUAUCAGGAAGAACACCAAUGGCGAAGGCAGCUCUCUGGGACGGUACUGACGCUGAGACGCGAAAGCGUGGGGAGCGAACAGG